RNAcentral lists this ribosomal RNA (200 nucleotides) under uncultured bacterium. RNAcentral's name for it is "partial 16S ribosomal RNA". It matches the Rfam family "Bacterial small subunit ribosomal RNA", at positions 524 to 723 of the family's 1533-position model. The record is from RNAcentral. RNAcentral also lists the same sequence under 1 other name.
UACGUAGGGUGCAAGCGUUAAUCGGAAUUACUGGGCGUAAAGGGUGCGCAGGCGGCCCCGCAUGUCAGGCGUGAAAUCCCCGGGCUCAACCUGGGAAUGGCGCUUGAAACUACGGGGCUGGAGUGUGGCAGAGGGAGGUGGAAUUCCACGUGUAGCGGUGAAAUGCGUAGAGAUGUGGAGGAACACCGAUGGCGAAGGCA